UCUCCCUGAGGGUUUAACCCUCCUGAAGGGCCGUGGAAGACUACCACGUUGAUAGGCUGGGUGUGGAAGCGCUGUGAGGCGUGAAGCUAACCAGUACUAAUUGCCCGUGCGGCUUGACUAUAUAAGAGA
This 129-nucleotide ribosomal RNA is filed under the name Pseudomonadales bacterium. Its description in RNAcentral is "partial 23S ribosomal RNA". It matches the Rfam family "Bacterial large subunit ribosomal RNA", at positions 2810 to 2925 of the family's 2925-position model. Lineage: Bacteria; Pseudomonadati; Pseudomonadota; Gammaproteobacteria; Pseudomonadales. The record is from RNAcentral.